RNAcentral lists this transfer RNA (84 nucleotides) under archaeon. RNAcentral describes it as "tRNA-Leu". It matches the Rfam family "tRNA". From Rfam's summary of the family: Transfer RNA (tRNA) molecules are approximately 80 nucleotides in length. Their secondary structure includes four short double-helical elements and three loops (D, anti-codon, and T loops). Further hydrogen bonds mediate the characteristic L-shaped molecular structure. tRNAs have two regions of fundamental functional importance: the anti-codon, which is responsible for specific mRNA codon recognition, and the 3' end, to which the tRNAs corresponding amino acid is attached (by aminoacyl-tRNA synthetases). tRNAs cope with the degeneracy of the genetic code in two manners: having more than one tRNA (with a specific anti-codon) for a particular amino acid; and 'wobble' base-pairing, i.e. permitting non-standard base-pairing at the 3rd anti-codon position. The record is from RNAcentral. RNAcentral also lists the same sequence under 1 other name.
GCAGGAGUGCCCGAGCGGCCAAAGGGGCAGGACUUAAGAUCCUGUGGCUUAGUGCCUUCGGCGGUUCGAAUCCGCCCUCCUGCA